RNAcentral lists this ribosomal RNA (253 nucleotides) under uncultured bacterium. Its description in RNAcentral is "partial 16S ribosomal RNA". It matches the Rfam family "Bacterial small subunit ribosomal RNA", at positions 524 to 776 of the family's 1533-position model. The record is from RNAcentral.
GACGAACCGUGCGAACGCUGUUCGGAAUCACUGGGCAUAAAGGGCGCGUAGGCGGCUUUUCAAGUCAGGGGUGAAAUCCGGCAGCUCAACUGUCGAAGUGCCCUUGAUACUGACGAGCUCGAGGGAGGUAGGGGUGUGUGGAACUUCCGGUGGAGCGGUGAAAUGCGUUGAUAUCGGAAGGAACGCCGGUGGCGAAAGCGACGCACUGGACCUCUUCUGACGCUGAGGCGCGAAAGCGUGGGUAGCAAACAGG